AUUGAACGCUGGCGGCAGGCCUAACACAUGCAAGUCGAGCGGAUGAAGGGAGCUUGCUCCUGGAUUCAGCGGCGGACGGGUGAGUAAUGCCUAGGAAUCUGCCUGGUAGUGGGGGAUAACGUCCGGAAACGGGCGCUAAUACCGCAUACGUCCUGAGGGAGAAAGUGGGGGAUCUUCGGACCUCACGCUAUCAGAUGAGCCUAGGUCGGAUUAGCUAGUUGGUGGGGUAAAGGCCUACCAAGGCGACGAUCCGUAACUGGUCUGAGAGGAUGAUCAGUCACACUGGAACUGAGACACGGUCCAGACUCCUACGGGAGGCAGCAGUGUGGAAUAUUGGACAAUGGGCGAAAGCCUGAUCCAGCCAUGCCGCGUGUGUGAAGAAGGUCUUCGGAUUGUAAAGCACUUUAAGUUGGGAGGAAGGGCAGUAAGUUAAUACCUUGCUGUUUUGACGUUACCAACAGAAUAAGCACCGGCUAACUUCGUG
Molecule: ribosomal RNA, 484 nt
Filed under: uncultured bacterium
Lineage: Bacteria
Description: partial 16S ribosomal RNA
Rfam family: Bacterial small subunit ribosomal RNA
Source: RNAcentral